UAGAGAUUGGAGGAGGAGGAUGGAGCUCCAGGAUGGAGAUAAGCGGAAAAAAACAGAGACUCAUGAGGAUAGAAGAUGUAAUUCAGAGUUUGAAAAAUAACUGAAGGCAUGACAAAGGCAGUAGUCCUGGAGAAAGAAUUCAGUUUCCUUUCUCUGUGGGCUGGCCAGCCUCCAUGGAGAAACGGUUCUUCUUCGUCCUGCAGCAGAGACCUCACUUCAGAGAAGAAAGCUGAGCUGACUGUGUGAUACAUCAUGUUGUGGAGGAGCUGAGUUUACUUUUUGCUUGGCUGUUUCUGCUCUUUUUUCCUUCUUUUCAGUUAUAUCAAUGUGAAGGACACAUAUAUCUCCAUCGUUCUCCCCACAGCCAAGGAGAAAUAUGACAGGGCCAAAAACAAAGCUGGGCGAGGAGUGGUUAGAGGCCUGUGCAUCCCAGGAGCGUCUCUGGUUCCAUACAAUCUCAGUUCUGGAACAGUCUUUGGUGGAGACUUCGGGAAGCCAUCAGAGUGCAGGGACACGCUGCUCCAGCUGACCUGCCAGGAGACGGAGCGUCUGACCCUGACACUCAAUUAGCAGAACAGACGGUGUAUAACGUAUGCUUGACACUGAUAUGAUUUAACGUUAAUAACUGGUUUUCAAAUAUUUAUUACAAUGGCUGUUUUAAUAAAUAUUUCAUG
Rhinolophus ferrumequinum (greater horseshoe bat) is the source of this 674-nucleotide long non-coding RNA. RefSeq lists it as uncharacterized. The transcript is spliced from 3 exons. The record is from RefSeq and is a predicted model, not a curated record. Lineage: Eukaryota; Metazoa; Chordata; Mammalia; Chiroptera; Rhinolophidae.